GUAGGGAAUAUUGCACAAUGGAGGAAACUCUGAUGCAGCGACGCCGCGUGAGUGAUGAAGGCCUUCGGGUCGUAAAGCUCUGUCGCAGGGGAAUAACACAAUGAAGGUACCCUGUAAGAAAGGAUCGGCUAACUUCGUGCCAGCAGCCGCGGUAAGACGAGGGAUCCUAGCGUUGUUCGGAAUCAUUGGGCGUAAAGCGGAUGUAGGUGGCUAUGUAAGUCAGAUGGGAAAGCCUGGGGCUCAACCCCAGAAGUGCAUUUGAUACUGCGUAGCUUGAGUGUCGGAGAGGUUACUAGAAUUGUUGGUGUAGUGGUGAAAUACGUAGAUAUCAACAGGAAUACCGGAGGCGAAGGCGGGUAACUGGCCGAACACUGACACUGAGAUCCGAAAGCGUGGGGAUCAAACAGGAUUAGAUACCCCGGUAGUCC
This 428-nucleotide ribosomal RNA is filed under the name uncultured bacterium. RNAcentral's name for it is "bacterial SSU rRNA". It matches the Rfam family "Bacterial small subunit ribosomal RNA", at positions 354 to 796 of the family's 1533-position model. The record is from RNAcentral.